Drosophila miranda is the source of this 737-nucleotide long non-coding RNA. RefSeq lists it as uncharacterized. Lineage: Eukaryota; Metazoa; Arthropoda; Insecta; Diptera; Drosophilidae. The record is from RefSeq and is a predicted model, not a curated record. The transcript is spliced from 2 exons.
UUGCGGUUCUCUUCUCACACACACACACACAAGAAACGCUCUCACGAACUUUUGUCUGUCUCUGUCGCACUUCUAUGUUUUUCGAUGUCUGGCACAACAUGUUGCUCCCGUCUGGAACAGCGCUUCUCUUCGCUUAUCAAAAACGGAGAACUGAGACAGCUUACAACCCCUGCCACGACAUGCAGGCACUGUUGAGCACAAAUGAACAUAUUCAAUUGUUUAAAUAUGGAUCAAAUAGUAUAUAUAAUUAUUAAUAAUAUUCUUAUAAAUCCAAAAAAAAAUGUGUUGUAUUAUUUUGAGUUUGUUUAUCAACUGAUACGCCACAGUUUACCACAAUGUGGCACUGGUUGUGCGUUAGCGCACGUGUGAGAGGUUGGACUUGAAACCGGUUUGUACCCCAACAAAGUACACAAAGUUCUAAAUCAAGUCGUAUUGUAGGUGCACUCACACAGACGACACUUUCGUUCAGAGAAGCUUUAGAUGCAGCCUGCAGUUCUAGUUGUAGAUGGAGAGCACGUGUACACGUGUGUGCCAGAGCUUUGUUGUGUGUUCUGUCGCACUCGAUGUCCAAUUAAAGAUGUAUUUAUAGCGCUUUGCAAACCUAUAUGGCGCAAUUCAAUCAACCAAACUCAACUUCAAUCAACGCGGACUUAUCGAUAAGACAUCGAUAAGACCUUCAGAAAUAUACCGAAACAUACCGUCUCAUUUAAAAAAUAUACCGUAAAUAUACUGACGAA